GAUGAACGCUAGCUACAGGCUUAACACAUGCAAGUCGAGGGGAAACGGCAUUGAGUGCUUGCACUCUUUGGACGUCGACCGGCGCACGGGUGAGUAACGCGUAUCCAACCUUCCCAUUACUGUGGGAUAACCUGCCGAAAGGCAGACUAAUACCGCAUGGUNUUCGAUGACGGCAUCAGAUUUGAAGUAAAGAUUUAUCGGUAAUGGAUGGGGAUGCGUCUGAUUAGCUUGUUGGCGGGGUAACGGCCCACCAAGGCAACGAUCAGUAGGGGUUCUGAGAGGAAGGUCCCCCACAUUGGAACUGAGACACGGUCCAAACUCCUACGGGAGGCAGCAGUGAGGAAUAUUGGUCAAUGGACGGAAGUCUGAACCAGCCAAGUAGCGUGCAGGAUGACGGCCCUAUGGGUUGUAAACUGCUUUUGUAUGGGGAUAAAGUUAGGGACGUGUCCCUAUUUGCAGGUACCAUACGAAUAAGGACCGGCUAAUUCCGUGCCAGCAGCCGCGGUAAUACGGAAGGUCCAGGCGUUAUCCGGAUUUAUUGGGUUUAAAGGGAGCGUAGGCUGGAGAUUAAGUGUGUUGUGAAAUGUAGACGCUCAACGUCUGAAUUGCAGCGCAUACUGGUUUCCUUGAGUACGCACAACGUUGGCGGAAUUCGUCGUGUAGCGGUGAAAUGCUUAGAUAUGACGAAGAACUCCGAUUGCGAAGGCAGCUGACGGGAGCGCAACUGACGCUUAAGCUCGAAGGUGCGGGUAUCAAACAGG
Molecule: ribosomal RNA, 761 nt
Filed under: Prevotella melaninogenica
Lineage: Bacteria; Pseudomonadati; Bacteroidota; Bacteroidia; Bacteroidales; Prevotellaceae
Description: bacterial SSU rRNA
Rfam family: Bacterial small subunit ribosomal RNA
Source: RNAcentral